RNAcentral lists this ribosomal RNA (389 nucleotides) under uncultured eukaryote. Its description in RNAcentral is "partial 18S ribosomal RNA". It matches the Rfam family "Eukaryotic small subunit ribosomal RNA", at positions 592 to 976 of the family's 1831-position model. The record is from RNAcentral.
CAAUAGCGUAUAUUAAAGUUGUUGCAGUUAAAAAGCUCGUAGUUGGAUUUCUGGUGGGGGUCGCUGGUCCGCUGCGAAAGCGGCGUGUACCGAUGCGUACCUACCGCCAUCCUCGGGGGGACUGCGUGUGGGAUUAGUUUCUCGUGCGUAUGGACGCCCGUCUUUUACUGUGAAAAAAUUAGAGUGUUCAAAGCAGGCUGGGGCCGUUGAAUACAUUAGCAUGGAAUAAUAAGAUAGGACCUUGGCGGUCUAUUUUGUUGGUUUGCACGCCAAGGUAAUGAUUAAUAGGGAUAGUUGGGGGUAUUCGUAUUCAAUUGUCAGAGGUGAAAUUCUUAGAUUUAUGGAAGACGAACUACUGCGAAAGCAUUUACCAAGGAUGUUUUCAUUAA